AAAAAAGUAGGGAAAUGUGUGAGCCAGCUGCCAAGAAAAGCCGCUAUUGUUUGUACUGUACCCGUACCGUAAACCGACACAGGUAGGUGGGGAGAGAAUCCUAAGGCCGACGGGAGAAGCAUUGUUAAGGAACUCGGCAAAAUGACUCCGUAACUUCGGGAGAAGGAGUGCCAGUGAGAGCUGGCCGCAGAGAAUUGGCCCAAGCAACUGUUUAGCAAAAACACAGGUCUAUGCAAAACCGUAAGGUGAAGUAUAUGGGCUGACGCCUGCCCGGUGCUGGAAGGUUAAGGGGAGAGGUUAGCGCAAGCGAAGCUUUGAACUUAAGCCCCAGUAAACGGCGGCCGUAACGAUAACGGUCCUAAGGUAGCGAAAUUCCUUGUCGGGUAAGUUCCGACCCGCACGAAAGGCGUAAUGAUUUGGGCACUGUCUCAACAAUGCACCCGGUGAAAUUGAAAUACCAGUGAAGAUGCUGGUUACCUGCGCCAGGACGGAAAGACCCCAUGGAGCUUUACUCCAGCUUGAUACUGGGAUUCGAUAUUGUAUGUACAGGAUAGGUGGGAGGCGAAGAAGCAUUGACGCCAGUUGAUGCGGAGCCGCUGUUGGGAUACCACCCUUGCAGUAUUGGAUUUCUAACCAGCAGCCGUGACCCGGCUGGGGGACAAUGUCAGGUGGGGAGUUUGACUGGGGCGGUCGCCUCCGAAAGGGUAUCGGAGGCGCUCAAAGGUUCCCUCAGAAUGGUUGGAAACCAUUCGAAGAGUGCAAAGGCAGAAGGGAGCUCGACUGCGACACCGACGGGUGGAGCAGGUACGAAAGUAGGACUUAGUGAUCCGGUGGUAUAAAGUGGGAUUGCCAUCGCUCAACGGAUAAAAGCUACCCUGGGAUAACAGGCUUAUCACUCCCAAGAGUUCACAUCGACGGAGUGGUUUGGCACCUCGAUGUCGGCUCAUCGCAUCCUGGGGCUGAAGUAGGUCCCAAGGGUUGGGCUGUUCGCCCAUUAAAGCGGUACGCGAGCUGGGUUCAGAACGUCGUGAGACAGUUCGGUCCCUAUCCGGCGUGGGCGUAGGAUAUUUGAGAGGAGCUGGCCUUAGUACGAGAGGACCGGGCUGGACUGACCGCUGGUGUAUCUGUUGUUCCGCCAGGAGCAUGGCAGAGUAGCCAAGUCAGGAAGGGAUAAACGCUGAAGGCAUCUAAGCGUGAAGCCCCCCUCAAGAUGAGAUAUCCCAACGCAAGUUGUAAGACCCCUUGAAGACGACAAGGUAGAUAGGGCAGAGGUGGAAGUGCAGUAAUGCAUGGAGCUGACUGUUACUAAUCGGUCGAGGGCAUAACU
Molecule: ribosomal RNA, 1327 nt
Filed under: metagenome
Description: bacterial LSU rRNA
Rfam family: Bacterial large subunit ribosomal RNA
Source: RNAcentral